UACAAGGCUCCUGAUAUAUUGUUACGAUAGCAGUUGAAAAAUACAUAGGCACAAUUUUUUUUACAAGCACUUAAGCCAAUGGUUCGUAUGACUUCAAUAAGUAGGUAGAGUGCUUUGACCCAUUUUCAUGAACGCUUAAAUGUUCUAUUGCAAUAUUGUCCAAUAUUUAACCACAGACGUGCCCUAACGCUAACGGCCUAGUCCUGACGCCCUGCAGUAGUCCCUAGAUAAGUAUACACGCUGAAUAAAUAUUUGACUAAAUUUUCCCUGCAGUACAAAUAAUUGUACAAAGUAUAAUCUGGCCACGUCUCGAAUACUGUAAUAUUACUAACCUUUUAACCUUUUAACUAAUAUACUAGCCGUAUAUCGUACCUCUCAGUAGUGCAUGAGCACCAGCCACAGAGUGCACGAGCACCAGUCAUCUCGUCAACAACCCCUCUCGAGUGCAUGAGCACCAGACGGCAAACAGCAUCCAAACCACAACUUUUCUACACCGAAUUCUACGAGCUGCAACUGGACUCCUUGUGUUGAGCAAUAAUCAGUGCGUGUUCGUUAUUUCGAGUUGUUUAAUUUUAAAUAUUAUUUCGUGUCACCUAAAACUGAUGCAGCAUAGCCCAGGGACGGCUGCGAGUCAGAUUCUGGCCACAACAAUUGGCAUUGCGUAGCAAUGAAAAACGAUAAACACUACACAGCACAGUCGUACAGAUUAUAUAAUUAAAAUCAAUAUACAAGUGGAAUAUAAUUUCGUUUAGCAUUUUUCGGACAGUCAAUUAAUGCAACAUUUUCAAAAUCUAUUAUAUAAGACAGUGAAAACGUAUAACUUACAAACACCAUCAUAUAAUACUUGUGCACUAUUUGUGAUGACGUCAGGUCGUAUAGUUUGCUUAAUACCGUUCGGCCGGAGUUUUGCUAGGACUUUUACAUAUAUAUGUAUAUGUAUAUAUUAUAGGUGAUAUGUACAGGCAGCCCAAUAAAGACGUGACCAAACGUUAUAUACUAAUAUAGAAUGAAGAUAUAUGACAAUUUAAGAACAAAGCGACCUAAAGUUUUACAUUUCUAAUAUUUGGUCGAUGUUUGCACUUUGCUGUACGGUCUGUAUACAUAAUAUGUUUGUAGGUUCAACUUAUUGUCUAACGGGUCUUCAUAUCAACGCACCAAACGUAUAUGGUAUAUGCACUAUUUGCAUGGAAUCAGAAGUCAAAACGUCAGGUCGUAUAUAGUUCGCUUAGUACCGUCCGAACGAAGUCUUGCUAGGACUUUUACUUUUGUGUAUAAGAUACCUACAUUUAUAGUAGGUAUAUUAUAGCUUAUAAUAGGUACUAUGUAUAGCCGCGUAUAGAACCACCAAUAAAGACAUGACUGAACGUUAUACAAAUAUAUUAAUAUGGACGCAAUAUGAAAUUAAACAACAACGUGACUUAAAGUUUUUACAGUUUCAAAUAUUCGGUCUUGACUGGACGGCAGCGGACUCCUUUAACAUAGUUUUGUAUGUUCAAUAGUACAAGCAGGUCUUCGUGUCAACGCAUUAUAGAUACGUAUAAUACGUAAUAUUCGUCUGCAGGACGUCAGGUCGUAUUAUACUUUGUUACCUGACCAUAGUUUUGCUAGGACUUUCACUUUUGUGUACAUGCAAUAUAGUAUAUACUAUAUAAUAUUAUUAUAUUAUACAUUUACAGGAUUCCCAAUAAGUGCAUGGUCAAAUGUUAUACAAAAUAUAGAACAAAGAUAUUAUACGAUAAGUUAUCAUUGAUAACUGAAGGACGACAUGACUUAAAGCUUUAAGCCUUUAAAUUUCUAAUAUUUGGUUGAUGUUUACCGGACUUCCUGUACACAUGUUUGUAGGUUCAACUUAUACUGUCUGACGGGUCUUCAUAAAGCGUACCAAACGUAUAUACUAUUUUCAAGGAGUCAGAAGUCAGAACGUCGCAGGUCGUAUUAUAUAGUUUGCUUAGUAUCGCCCGGCCGAAGUUUGGCUACCUCUUCCACUUUUGUGUAUACAUUUAUGAUUUAUAGUAUAUUAUAUCUUAUAAUAUUAUGUAUAGUACCACCAAUAAAUAUAUGACUGGACGUUAUACAAAUAUAAUGCGUAUAUAUAUGAAUAUAUUAUGACAAUUAAAGAGCAACGUGACUUAAAGUUUCUACGAUUUCAAAUAUUCGAUAUUAAUUCCUCUGUCUUGACUGGACCACGGACUCCUUUCACAUACCUAAUUUUGUAUGUUCAACAGUGCAAGCAGGACUUUGUGUCAACGCAUUAUACAUAUUAUAUGUAAUAUUCGUCUGCAGGACGUCAGAUAAUAUAUGUACGCAGGAUGCCCCAAUAAAGACAUGACAAAACGUUAAACUAUUAGAAUGAAGAUAUAUUAUUUUGAUAAUUAAAGAACAACGUGACUAAAGUUUUACAUUUCUAAUAUUUGGUUGAUGUUUACUGGACGUCCUGUAUUAAUAUGUUUGUAGGUUCAAUAAUACUUACUGUCUGACGGAUCUUCAUAUCAACGCACCAAAAGUAUGCACUAUUUGCAAAGAGUCAGAAGUCAGAACGUCAGGUCGUAUUCGUAUAGUUUGCUUAGUACCGUCCGAGCGAAGUUUUGCUAGGACUUUUACUUUUGUAUAUACAUAUAUAUAUAUAGAUAGGUACAGAUAUAUUAUAGGUAAUAUGUACAGGCCGACCAAUAAAGAAGAGACCAAACGUUAUAUCUACUAUAAGAAAUAAGAAUGAAGAUAUAUUAUGAUAAUUUAAGAACAAAGCGACCUAAAGUUUUACAUUUCUAAUAUUUGGUUGAUGUUUACUGGACGUCCUGUAUGUAAUAUGUUUGUAGGUUCAACUUAAUGUCUAACGGGUCUUCGUAUCACGGGAUGCACUAUUUGCAUGGAAUCAGAAGUCAAAACGUCAGGUCGUAUAUAGUUCGCUUAGUACCGUCCGAACGAAGUCUUGCUAGGACUUUUACUUUUGUGUAUACAUUUAUAGUAUAUUAUAUUUUAUAAUAUGUAUAGGACCACCAAUAAAGACAUGACUAAACGUUGUACAAACUUAAUGUGGAUAUAUGGACAUAUGGUCAAACGUUAUACAAAAUAUAGAACAAAGAUAUCAAUAUAUUAUGAUAACUAAAGCACAGCGUGACUUAAAGUUUUAAAUUUUUAAUAUUUGGUCGAUUGUUGGUUUUUAUUGGACGCCCUGUACAAUUUUUAGCAGGAUAUGAAUAUCGAGUUUGUGGUUCACUGCCUUCCACUACACUUAUAUUAUGCACUUAUAGUCUAUAGUCGCGUGUGCCGUAUAUGCGUAUCUAUAAUAUUAUAUCAAAUAUAUGGUUUGAUGGACAACGGAAGCCCGAAUUACUUACGUAACAUGUGUUUCCCGGAGCGCCCGUCUCAUCUCAGCUUCCUACAACAGUUGUCAGACGCGCGGACUAUAGUUGGAAGUCCUUCGGGCUUCCGGUAAAUGAUUUAAUCACACUAAUGUUUCAAUUUACAUACGAGUAAAUCUUUGUUUUAUUUUGUUUUGGGGUAUUACGAUUGUUGUCGUUAUUGGACAUUGUGAAAAUGGGGCCUAUACUCGCUGCAAUGAUCGGAGUGGAGUGGAGUCGAUGGCCGUUGAAACGAAGAAGAAUAGGUAUAACAAAAUAAUCUAUAUAGUUUUGAGCACAUCGUUCCAGCGACCAGCAGUGUGGAUAAACUUUCAUAACCUUACAAAUGUAUUAAUUUGAUGGAAAUAAAGACAUUUUUUGAGUUAAUUAUUAUUGACAUUUUAUAACUUGUACUCAAUGACGAGGUAGGUAGGUACACUCGAUGUCUCGACAAGUACGGUUUAGUACGCCAGAGACGACUCUGUACCAAAAAACGCCGGUUUUUAAACAAAACUUUUUAAAAAUCUAUUGGGACCGAAACAUAAUUUUUUUUAGGAACCUCGUAACCUACCUAUUUGUUGAUGUAGAGGUAUUUUUGGUUCAAAAUUCUAAUAGAUAUUUUUAUCUAUUCAUAACGGAUAGUAGUAGGUACUAGGUACAUAUAAUAACUGCAGGGCUCGUAACUUAUUCAUACACCAAAAAACGCAUAAAUAAGUAUGCAUUCAUGCACUAAAAAUUGUCAAAAUAUGAACUGAAAAGUUCGAAAAUAUUCAUUUAUACGGCCAUUUAACAUUU
This 4136-nucleotide long non-coding RNA is filed under the name Acyrthosiphon pisum (pea aphid). RNAcentral's name for it is "uncharacterized LOC115034208, transcript variant X6". Lineage: Eukaryota; Metazoa; Arthropoda; Insecta; Hemiptera; Aphididae. The record is from RNAcentral.